This is a long non-coding RNA of Rhinolophus ferrumequinum (greater horseshoe bat), 706 nucleotides long. RefSeq lists it as uncharacterized. Lineage: Eukaryota; Metazoa; Chordata; Mammalia; Chiroptera; Rhinolophidae. The record is from RefSeq and is a predicted model, not a curated record. The transcript has 3 exons.
CCUACCAUUGUGAUACAAAAAUCAAAAGGAUGACUGACAUCUGAAUUCCACUAAACGUAUAGUUCAGAUCUUUCUUCAUGCUUAGCAUUUGGUAUUUCCAAUAACUUGAACCAACCAAGAGCUGCUAGUAACAGUUGCAUAGACUUCCCUUUACUGAUUUUCAUAUACCCCAGAAUUAUACCACCCCAUGUUUAAAUGACGGAAAUCCAAAGAAUUCUUGUCUUUAUUCCCUAACAUUGCCUAUCUGCAGCAUACUACUGUCAGUUCUCUGUGUUUCCUACCUACCAUGCCCAAAUCAAAGCCAAAUGAAAUAUCUUCUUCAAACUUUUCUUACUCCCAAUUUUAGAAAUAAAAAAUAUAUUUCUGAGAGUUCAGUUUCUGUUAAUGAUGGAAUAGCUUGAUCAUCUAUAGGCAAUAAUGAUGAAAUGUGGACAAUUUGAAAGUCUUGGAGAGUAACCAAAAGCAAGCAGAAACUGAAUAAACCUAACUUGGAAAGACAAUGAAUGACAUUUGUUUAUGGGUUUUAUCUGAGCGCAUUCUCCAGUCUUAUCAAGGACCCAAACAGAAGGUGUCAGAGGAUGGAGUUCAAGGCCAACAGAACAAAUAGAAAAUUAGAGGGGAAAAUCCAGUUAAAAAAAAUUACUGUACAUGUGAAGAAAUAGGAAAAUGUGAUACUUCUUCAAGGGGAAAAAUAAAGUCAAUAUGA